GGGGGUGACCCGGUUUCGACAGGGGAACUGCAGGCGCUGUUGCGUGUCGAGGUGCCGUUGGCCUCGUAAACAAACGGCAAAGCCAUUAACUGGCAACCAGAACCUCCCUCUCGCUGCUUAAGUGAGACAGUGACCGCGAAGCCCGGCCUUUGGCGCCGCGCGAACUGAACCAAAAGAAGGCUAGCCAACGCAAGGUUCCAUAGCGGGACGCGAAACUACAUGGAAAUAAGGCAAAGGGGAGGCGCGCCCACCAGUCGCCCCCAGCCCGACAAUCAAACUGUGGGAUACACACGUAGACGCACGCUGAACGGACUCUUGGACGGCGGUUCGACUCCGCCCACCUCCACCA
The sequence is a non-coding RNA, 349 nucleotides long. It matches the Rfam family "transfer-messenger RNA". Rfam says of the family: Bacterial tmRNA, also known as 10Sa RNA or SsrA, is named for its dual tRNA and mRNA-like properties. Its role is to liberate the mRNA from a stalled ribosome. The record is from Rfam.